This is a non-coding RNA of Paramuricea clavata, 2329 nucleotides long. The record is from the annotation of a GenBank genome assembly. Lineage: Eukaryota; Metazoa; Cnidaria; Anthozoa; Malacalcyonacea; Plexauridae.
UAUACAUGUAAUUGCAUAUAAGAAAUUGGGAAUUACUUUCUUGUGCGGAUUACUUUUUAAUAUUUUGUAUGUACUGUGGACAAUAGGCCAGAAAAUGGUGUGAAAUUUUGAUCAAACAGCAUUUGUCAUGCAUAUCUGCUACUGAGUAUAUGCAAUGCGUAAUGACGUCGAGCAAUUAUUAAUGUUCAUUAUUCAUUCAUUAUAUAACUGUCUUUUGGAUGUACUACAACUCAUUUCGUUUGAGUAACCGUGCUACGAAUGCUACGAAUUAAAACAUCACAAAGCACGUCGAAGAUUCUAAAGAACAUAUCUAGCAUAUAAGGUAAUCAAUAUUAUUUAUUAUGUUUUUUCCAAAUACUAGAAUAUGGUACAAUGCAAUAUAUAUUUAUAAAAGGUCACCAAAGGGCAAAUACAUGGCGAUGACAUGGGGCUUUAUCAUAUAUAAUUUUUCUGAUCAAUUCUAUCAUAAUCUUGACUUAACAUUAUGGGCAAACAAGAAGUCAAAAUGACUUAUAUCGUGGUUUUUCCCAAAUACUAGAAGAUAGUAUAUUAUACAAUAAAUAUUUCUAAAAGGUCACCAAAGGGCGAAUACAUGGCGAUGUAAAUGUAUCAAAAUUCGUAGGCUACAGUUAAUCGUCGAUUGUCUUAUAAAUUACGCGCAGCAUAUCUAAACUAUAAUAUGCGCUUAUGAGCUUUUUGAGACGACGUUUAAAAUGUGGCAGCUUUUAUAUUUUAUGCAUGUGGAAUAAAAAUUGUCGUAUAUCGUACUUCUCUUUUAUAGUCUAUAACCGAUAGAGAAUUUUGCAUCACUCGAAUAUGCGUUUAUAAUACGAAAGACCAGAAGACAGUUGUACCAGCUGUUCUGUUAAAUUGUAUAUAUAUAAAAUUAUUACUACAAAAUACGCGAUUUUAGCACUAACAAUAGUGAACUAAAAUUUACACAGGUAACUAUACCUUUUUAUAUAACCAGAUCUAAUGGAUUUACGAACAUAACAUAUAGAAUAACUGUCUUGACAACUGGUAUAAAUAAUAGUUUACAUCCGUUAUUAUAUAAUCAAUACUUUUAUCAAGAAUGAAUCUAUUUAUCGGUUCUAUAUUGACAUAGCCGUAUCGAUGUGAGAUCGGUAAAAUCUCAAACAUUUAAAAAAAUAUCUUAAAACCUAAAAAGCCCCAGAAAUUACCAGAAUUCAAAAACAAAUUAAAAAUUCAAAGUUGCAUGAUUUCUAGAUAAAAUGCAUAAAAUGUUUACAAAAUCUUGAAGUAAAAUGGAAAAAUUUAAAGCAAAUCACUAUCCCAUAUAGCCUGCGCGCAGUCCCAAACUCCCAAAGUCUGAGACUGCGCGCAGGCUAUAUCCCCGCGUUUUCCGUUUUUCAACUCGUAUCUAAGAGAUUAUUUCCUGUCCAGGGAAGCUUAUAGCCGCUUUUGUAUAAAUUAGUAAUUAGUUUGCAGGUAGGAGGAUAUAUUAAUUGGAAAGCAAAUUACACGAAUAUUUUUUUUCAAAAACUGCUUAUCCGAAGUGACGAGAAUUCAAUUUACAGCUUAUUGAAAAUGAUUCAUAAGGUUCUGACACAAUUAAAGUGAUGUAGAUUUCAAAUCAGAUAAGAUAUAUAUAGACCUAAUUAACACAUUUAUAUAUACAACUGUAUAAAUGUACUUAUACAACAUCUGCGGCCAGAUUAAUAUUACAAACGUGGAUGCAGUCCAGGUAGGUAUUCUAAAAAACUGCCGUGGUUUUAGUCUGAACUGCCUGCGGAAAAAAACGAUCACAUGUAAACCUGAAGGUUUAAUGUAGGUAUAGAGUAUUCUCCAAAGUAAAAGGACAUGGAAAAUUUCUUUUGUAUCAAUGUUAUUAUAGCAUGCAUGUAUAUUUACUUUUUUUGCAGGUAACCAAAAAUAAUUUGCAGUUAGCCCUGCGGCUGCGAGCGAAGUGAACAGCCGGAGUAGGUUUUGGACCGCGUAUAGCCUUGAGACUUGCCACUGGGGGAAACGUUUUGAUCAAUUGGGCGUGAGAAAGUCAAUUUUGGCAAUAGGAAAUAUAACUCAGAGCUGUUAAGGUUUAAGAUUUUUUAUAAAUGAAAUUUGACCACAGAACAGAAAAAUAGUCAGACCACACAAUGUUUGAAAGAACAUUCUAAUGUUCUGGAAAAAAGACACCUAUUUUACACCCGUUUUCAAAAUUACGCGACCAGGCCGAAAAUAGAGUUUAUGUCAUAGGGUCACGAAGUUUAAAUUGUUUCCAACUUUGAGUUUUACGGUUCGUUAUCGAUUUAUAUGCUUUGUAUGCUUUAUAUAAAAAGGUUUAGAAGGAUUUCAAUAUGUUUGAUGCGAA